AUUGAACGCUGGAGGCAUGCUUUACACAUGCAAGUCGAACGGUAACAGGUUAAGCUGACGAGUGGCGAACGGGUGAGUAAUGCAUCGGAACGUGCCCGCUCGUGGGGGAUAACGCAGGGAAAGCUGCGCUAAUACCGCAUACGAUCUGAGGAUGAAAGCGGGGGACCGUACGGCCUCGCGCGAUCGGAGCGGCCGAUGUCAGAGUAGGUAGUUGGUGGGGUAAAGGCUCACCAAGCCAACGAUCUGUAGCUGGUCUGAGAGGACGACCAGCCACACUGGGACUGGGACACGGCCCAGACUCCUACGGGAGGCAGCAGUGGGGAAUUUUGGACAAUGGGCGAAAGCCUGAUCCAGCAAUGCCGCGUGCAGGAAGAAGGCCUUCGGGUUGUAAACUGCCUUUGUACGGAGCGAAAAGGUCCCCUCUAAUACAGGGGGCUCAUGACGGUACCGUAAGAAUAAGCACCGGCUAACUACGUGCCAGCAGCCGCGGUAA
RNAcentral lists this ribosomal RNA (493 nucleotides) under uncultured bacterium. Its description in RNAcentral is "partial 16S ribosomal RNA". It matches the Rfam family "Bacterial small subunit ribosomal RNA", at positions 29 to 523 of the family's 1533-position model. The record is from RNAcentral.